This 494-nucleotide ribosomal RNA is filed under the name uncultured bacterium. RNAcentral's name for it is "partial 16S ribosomal RNA". It matches the Rfam family "Bacterial small subunit ribosomal RNA", at positions 29 to 523 of the family's 1533-position model. The record is from RNAcentral.
AUGAACGCUAGCGGGAGGCCUAACACAUGCAAGCCGAGCGGUAGAGAUUCUUCGGGAUCUUGAGAGCGGCGUACGGGUGCGGAACACGUGUGCAACCUGCCUUUAUCUGGGGGAUAGCCUUUCGAAUGGAAGAUUAAUACCCCAUAAUAUAAGAGACGGCAUCGUUUUUUAUUGAAAACUCCGGUGGAUAGAGAUGGGCCCGCGCAAGAUUAGAUAGUUGGUGAGGUAACGGCUCACCAAGUCUACGAUCUUUAGGGGGCCUGAGAGGGUGAUCCCCCACACUGGUACUGAGACACGGACCAGACUCCUACGGGAGGCAGCAGUGAGGAAUAUUGGACAAUGGGUUAGAGCCUGAUCCAGCCAUCCCGCGUGAAGGACGACGGCCCUAUGGGUUGUAAACUUCUUUUGUAUAGGGAUAAACCUACCCUCGUGAGGGUAGCUGAAGGUACUAUACGAAUAAGCACCGGCUAACUCCGUGCCAGCCGCCGCAGUAA